Molecule: ribosomal RNA, 235 nt
Filed under: uncultured bacterium
Lineage: Bacteria
Description: partial 16S ribosomal RNA
Rfam family: Bacterial small subunit ribosomal RNA
Source: RNAcentral
GAUCCGGCUCAGGAUGAACGCUAGCUACAGGCUUAACACAUGCAAGUCGAGGGGCAGCAUGUUGGUUGCUUGCAACCAAUGAUGGCGACCGGCGCACGGGUGAGUAACGCGUAUCCAACCUACCCUUGUCCAUCGGAUAACCCGUCGAAAGGCGGCCUAACACGAUAUGCGGUUCACAGCAGGCAUCUAACGUGAACGAAAUGUAAAGGAGAAGGAUGGGGAUGCGUCUGAUUAG